GAGUUUGAUCCUGGCUCAGAUUGAACGCUGGCGGCAGGCCUAACACAUGCAAGUCGAGCGGUAGCACAGAGAGCUUGCUCUCGGGUGACGAGCGGCGGACGGGUGAGUAAUGUCUGGGAAACUGCCUGAUGGAGGGGGAUAACUACUGGAAACGGUAGCUAAUACCGCAUAACGUCGCAAGACCAAAGUGGGGGACCUUCGGGCCUCAUGCCAUCAGAUGUGCCCAGAUGGGAUUAGCUAGUAGGUGGGGUAAUGGCUCACCUAGGCGACGAUCCCUAGCUGGUCUGAGAGGAUGACCAGCCACACUGGAACUGAGACACGGUCCAGACUCCUACGGGAGGCAGCAGUGGGGAAUAUUGCACAAUGGGCGCAAGCCUGAUGCAGCCAUGCCGCGUGUAUGAAGAAGGCCUUCGGGUUGUAAAGUACUUUCAGCGAGGAGGAAGGCGUUGUGGUUAAUAACCGCAACGAUUGACGUUACUCGCAGAAGAAGCACCGGCUAACUCCGUGCCAGCAGCCGCGGUAAUACGGAGGGUGCAAGCGUUAAUCGGAAUUACUGGGCGUAAAGCGCACGCAGGCGGUCUGUCAAGUCGGAUGUGAAAUCCCCGGGCUCAACCUGGGACUGCAUCCGAAACUGGCAGGCUAGAGUCUUGUAGAGGGGGGUAGAAUUCCAGGUGUAGCGGUGAAAUGCGUAGAGAUCUGGAGGAAUACCGGUGGCGACGGCCCCCUGGAAAGACUGACCUCAGUGCGAAAGCGUGGGGAGCAAACAGGAUUAAUACCCUGGAGUCCACGCCUAAACAUGUCACUUGGAGGUU
This 812-nucleotide ribosomal RNA is filed under the name uncultured Raoultella sp. RNAcentral's name for it is "bacterial SSU rRNA". It matches the Rfam family "Bacterial small subunit ribosomal RNA", at positions 9 to 824 of the family's 1533-position model. Lineage: Bacteria; Pseudomonadati; Pseudomonadota; Gammaproteobacteria; Enterobacterales; Enterobacteriaceae. The record is from RNAcentral.